This 199-nucleotide long non-coding RNA is filed under the name Gossypium barbadense (sea-island cotton). Its description in RNAcentral is "long non-coding RNA (GBAR_LNC010537)". The record is from RNAcentral. Lineage: Eukaryota; Viridiplantae; Streptophyta; Magnoliopsida; Malvales; Malvaceae.
GAAGGCGAGGCCCAAUAAGCAAAUUCCCAGCCCAAUCAAGAAAUCCAUCCAUAUUUAGUUGAAAAUCAGGCCAAAUUGUCAAAGUGGCCCAAGUUGUAAAGUUUUAUUUUUAUUUUUAUUUAUUUAUUUAUUUAUUUACUUAGUUUAAAUUUUUAUGUCAAUAUUCAGUCCAAGAGUCCCAGAUAAAAUGACCUUUGAC